This 67-nucleotide transfer RNA is filed under the name Campylorhynchus zonatus (band-backed wren). RNAcentral's name for it is "tRNA-Lys". It matches the Rfam family "tRNA". Rfam says of the family: Transfer RNA (tRNA) molecules are approximately 80 nucleotides in length. Their secondary structure includes four short double-helical elements and three loops (D, anti-codon, and T loops). Further hydrogen bonds mediate the characteristic L-shaped molecular structure. tRNAs have two regions of fundamental functional importance: the anti-codon, which is responsible for specific mRNA codon recognition, and the 3' end, to which the tRNAs corresponding amino acid is attached (by aminoacyl-tRNA synthetases). tRNAs cope with the degeneracy of the genetic code in two manners: having more than one tRNA (with a specific anti-codon) for a particular amino acid; and 'wobble' base-pairing, i.e. permitting non-standard base-pairing at the 3rd anti-codon position. Lineage: Eukaryota; Metazoa; Chordata; Aves; Passeriformes; Certhiidae. The record is from RNAcentral.
CGCUAAGAAGCUAUGAAACAGCACUAGCCUUUUAAGCUAGAGACAGAGGACAUACCCUCCUUAGCGA